AUUUGUGAAAUGAAGUGUUACUCUGUUGAGUUGCUUCUAGGUGAGAAGAAGAAGAAGAAAGUGAAGCUAAGCAUUCUGCGAGAAGGGAUAAACCAAGUUUUAGUUAAAGGAAACCAUGUAGAAAAAGCAUGCAUGGUGGAGUGAAGCCGACCAAUAUAUAAAAGAUGUGUAUUGUGUUAGGCAGAGCAACAAGGAAUGUACCAAGAAAUUUUCAGAUGCGGUUGAUGAAAAGACGAUCACAAUAGUCUAAACACAAGGCGACAAGUCUUGGAGUAGGAAAGGAUUCAUGUUCUCAGUGAAAGACAUGCAAGACUAAUGUGUGUUUAUGAGACAUGAUGUGUUUACGUGGUUCGUUAUAAAAUGUAUUUCUAAAGGGUUUUUCUUUGAACUUCACUAAGUCUUUUGACUUACGUUUUAAAGUUCUUCCUUCCAAGUAAUCAUAUUAAGGCUAGGUUGGAAAAUGGUGAAAUGAUGGCUAGGCGAGGAAGCUUGGCGAGGCGUAUAGUUUAAGUUUACUGUUUUAUUUGUUUGUAAAGUAUUGUAAAACGUUUGGUUAAAGGUUAAUAAAAUUUAAUCUUUUGUUCU
Molecule: long non-coding RNA, 585 nt
Organism: Cucumis sativus (cucumber)
Lineage: Eukaryota; Viridiplantae; Streptophyta; Magnoliopsida; Cucurbitales; Cucurbitaceae
Exons: 2
Source: RefSeq, a predicted model, not a curated record